UGUAAAGGGAGGACUAAGCCCCAUGAAUGGAAUUACAACCCACCGCCUGACUUCAGCCACCUUUAC
RNAcentral lists this transfer RNA (66 nucleotides) under Ctenophorus scutulatus. RNAcentral's name for it is "tRNA-Tyr". Lineage: Eukaryota; Metazoa; Chordata; Lepidosauria; Squamata; Agamidae. The record is from RNAcentral.